This 447-nucleotide ribosomal RNA is filed under the name Streptococcus sp. oral taxon E12. Its description in RNAcentral is "bacterial SSU rRNA". It matches the Rfam family "Bacterial small subunit ribosomal RNA", at positions 28 to 455 of the family's 1533-position model. Lineage: Bacteria; Bacillati; Bacillota; Bacilli; Lactobacillales; Streptococcaceae. The record is from RNAcentral.
GACGAACGCGGCGGCGUGCCUAAUACAUGCAAGUAGAACGCACAGGAUGCACCGUAGUUUACUACACCGUAUUCUGUGAGUUGCGAACGGGUGAGUAACGCGUAGGUAACCUGCCUGGUAGCGGGGGAUAACUAUUGGAAACGAUAGCUAAUACCGCAUAAGAACAUUUGCUGCAUGGUAGAUGUUUAAAAGGUGCAAAUGCAUCACUACCAGAUGGACCUGCGUUGUAUUAGCUAGUAGGUGAGGUAACGGCUCACCUAGGCGACGAUACAUAGCCGACCUGAGAGGGUGAUCGGCCACACUGGGACUGAGACACGGCCCAGACUCCUACGGGAGGCAGCAGUAGGGAAUCUUCGGCAAUGGACGGAAGUCUGACCGAGCAACGCCGCGUGAGUGAAGAAGGUUUUCGGGAUCGUAAAAGCUUCUGUUUGUAAAGAGAAAGAAACG